UAGGGAAUAUUGCUUAAUGGGCGAAAGCCUGAAGCAGCAACGCCGCGUGUGUGAAGAAGGCCUUCGGGUUGUAAAACACUUUUUGAGGGGAUGAGGAAGGACAGUACCCUCAGAAUAAGCCUCGGCUAACUACGUGCCAGCAGCCGCGGUAAAACGUAGGAGGCGAGCGUUAUCCGGAUUUACUGGGCGUAAAGCGCGUGCAGGCGGCACGGCAAGUUGGAUGGGAAAGCUCCCGGCUUAACUGGGAGAGGUCGUUCAAAACUGCCGAGCUAGAGUGCGGGAGAGGGAGGUGGAAUUCCGGGUGUAGUGGUGAAAUGCGUAGAUAUCCGGAGGAACACCAGUGGCGAAAGCGGCCUCCUGGUCCGCAACUGACGCUCAGACGCGAAAGCUAGGGUAGCAAACG
Molecule: ribosomal RNA, 403 nt
Filed under: uncultured bacterium
Lineage: Bacteria
Description: bacterial SSU rRNA
Rfam family: Bacterial small subunit ribosomal RNA
Source: RNAcentral